UAGGGAAUCUUCCGCAAUGGACGCAAGUCUGACGGAGCAACGCCGCGUGAGUGAAGAAGGAUUUCGGUUCGUAAAACUCUGUUGUUAGAGAAGAACAGCGCAUAGAGUAACUGUUAUGCGUGUGACGGUAUCUAACCAGAAAGCCACGGCUAACUACGUGCCAGCAGCCGCGGUAAUACGUAGGUGGCAAGCGCUGUCCGGAUUUAUUGGGCGUAAAGCGAGCGCAGGCGGUCAAUUAAGUCUGAUGUGAAAGCCCCCGGCUCAACCGGGGAGGGUCAUUGGAAACUGGUUGACUUGAGUGCAGAAGAGGAGAGUGGAAUUCCAUGUGUAGCGGUGAAAUGCGUAGAUAUAUGGAGGAACACCAGUGGCGAAGGCGACUCUCUGGUCUGUAACUGACGCUGAGGCUCGAAAGCGUGGGUAGCAAACAGG
This 429-nucleotide ribosomal RNA is filed under the name Bacteroidota bacterium. Its description in RNAcentral is "Bacteroidetes bacterium partial 16S ribosomal RNA". It matches the Rfam family "Bacterial small subunit ribosomal RNA", at positions 355 to 776 of the family's 1533-position model. Lineage: Bacteria; Pseudomonadati; Bacteroidota. The record is from RNAcentral.